This 490-nucleotide ribosomal RNA is filed under the name uncultured bacterium. RNAcentral's name for it is "partial 16S ribosomal RNA". It matches the Rfam family "Bacterial small subunit ribosomal RNA", at positions 30 to 507 of the family's 1533-position model. The record is from RNAcentral.
AUUGAACGCUGGCGGCAGGCCUAACACAUGCAAGUCGAACGGUAACAGGAAGAAGCUUGCUUCUUUGCUGACGAGUGGCGGACGGGUGAGUAAUGUCUGGGAAACUGCCUGAUGGAGGGGGAUAACUACUGGAAACGGUAGCUAAUACCGCAUAACGUCGCAAAACCAAAGAGGGGGACCUUCGGGCCUCUUGCCAUCGGAUGUGCCCAGAUGGGAUUAGCUAGUAGGUGGGGUAACGGCUCACCUAGGCGACGAUCCCUAGCUGGUCUGAGAGGAUGACCCGCCACACUGGAACUGAGACACGGUCCAGACUCCUACGGGAGGCAGCAGUGGGGAAUAUUGCACAAUGGGCGCAAGCCUGAUGCAGCCAUGCCGCGUGUAUGAAGAAGGCCUUCGGGUUGUAAAGUACUUUCAGCGGGGAGGAAGGGAGUAAAGUUAAUACCUUUGCUCAUUGACGUUACCCGCAGAAGAAGCACCGGCUAACUCCGUG